RNAcentral lists this ribosomal RNA (442 nucleotides) under uncultured Clostridiaceae bacterium. RNAcentral's name for it is "bacterial SSU rRNA". It matches the Rfam family "Bacterial small subunit ribosomal RNA", at positions 28 to 449 of the family's 1533-position model. The record is from RNAcentral. Lineage: Bacteria; Bacillati; Bacillota; Clostridia; Eubacteriales; Clostridiaceae.
GACGAACGCUGGCGGCGUGCCUAACACAUGCAAGUCGAACGAAGAGAAUCGAGAGCUUGCUCUUGAAGAUCUUAGUGGCAAACGGGUGAGUAACGCGUAAACAACCUGCCUUCGGGAUGGGGACAACAGACGGAAACGACUGCUAAUACCCAAUGAACUAACCGAGCGAGUGCGAGGAAGAGGAAAGGUGGCCUCUCGGAGAAGCUACCGCCGGAAGGGGGGUUUGCGUCUGAUUAGGUAGUUGGUGGGGUAACGGCCUACCAAGCCAAUGAUCAGUAGCCGGUCUGAGAGGAUGAACGGCCACACUGGAACUGAGACACGGUCCAGACUCCUACGGGAGGCAGCAGUGGGGAAUAUUGCACAAUGGGGGAAACCCUGAUGCAGCGACGUCGCGUGAGCGAAGAAGGCCUUCGGGUCGUAAAGCUCUGUCCUAUGGGAAGAA